GGGGGGGGGGGGGGGGGGGGGGGGGGGGAGUGGGGGGGAGGAUGCCUGGGUGGCUCAGUCAGUUAAGUGUCUGACUUCAGUUUAGGUCGUGAUCUCACAGUUCGCCAGUUUGAGCCCCGCGUCGGGCUCUGUGCUGACAGCUCAGAGCCUGGAGCCUGCUUCAGAUUGUGUCUCCCUCUCUCUGCCUGUCCCCUGCUCAUGCUCUGUCUCUCUCAAAAAUAAAUAAACAUUAACAAAAUUAAAAAAAAAAGAAGUCUGAUAAACUAAUAUAAGUGAUAUCUAAUUAUUCCUUAAUAUUGAGUAAAAAAAAAAAAAAGAGACUUCACUGUGGAAACCCUUCAGAUAGGUGCCUCAGAGUUCAGAACCUCUUGCAACUUUGUAAGAAGAAUGUGCUUAUCAUUUCUGGGGUUUAUGGGAGAAGGAAAACUGCCAUGAUAUUUAGGCAAAACUUUCCCUAAAACACCAGGGUAUAGUAAAAUCACAGUACAGAGCAUGUGGUUGGGAAAUACUGAACAACAUAAGUUUAUGUUGCUUGAAAAUGUUCCUUAUGACAGAUUGCAACGUCUACCAAAACAAUGAUGUAAGCUGUGGAACUAGUUUUGCGUGGCCUGAAGUUGAAGCUUUUUAUAUUUCACCAUUUCAUUACUUCACAACUUCAUGCAUCGGAAUUGCAGGCUGAUUCAGAUCCUGGGAAGGAAUUUAAAUUCCUGGACUGACUGUGAACUCUGGGCAGGUGGCAACCAUAGGGCUCCACUAAUUUGGCCUUGGCCAACUUCAGCCCAAGAGCCUAGGAAUCGGGUGCAGACUUUAGAGUUGCACAGAAUGAUUACCUGGACUUUUGCUGGCUCCUGUGAAGGCCUGAGAUUGUUGUAUGUGAAGCUUUACCUCUUGUUAGCAGGGUGUUUCGCUUUAAGGAUCAGGAGUUUAAAAAUAAUUUUUUCAUUGAUAGUUUUAGAAACAAUGCAAGAGGAAGACGUAUAUAAUUAUCACACACAAACACACACACACACACACACACACUGUAGUCUUGUAUAUGCAGGACAAUCUUUAGAAGGAUACGUAAGAAAAUAUGAGGCUAUUUAUUUCUUAGGGAUUGAGCUGGGAUGUCAAAAGUGAAGGAGAUUUUAUUUAUUACUUUAUUCUUUUGGGGAAAUAGGGUAUAUUUUGCAUUGAGAAUGCCUUCGUUUUAUAAAAGAAAAAUUUCCUUUUGAAACCCAGCUUUCUUUUAACAACACCAUUGUUUCUUUUCAUGCCUUUCUCCCCAUAACAGAGAAUUUUCCUGAUUUUGUCAGAAGAUGUGGUUAACUUUAAGGAGCUUUUCUUAUUGGAUCAAGUUAGUUUCUUUCCUUUUCCCCUCCAACCUUUCAUCCAUCCUCAGAUAUUUAGUGCUUAGUAUCUCUUACUGCUUCUUACAGGCUAAGUAAAAGUAACUCUUUGGGAAAAGAAGAGAUCAGCAACAUUCGUGAGGUUGCUGUCCCUCUGAUGGGACUUCAGAAACGUGAGACUUUGAGAAGAUGGAGUGAUUUUGCAGAGGAUGCUAGGACAAUGAUUCAGGGUAGCCGAGGUUCUGUGUGCCUAGAUAUUCCCUCACACAGAAGGAAAAGAAACCACUAGUGCUUCUCAAUUAAUGAGAGGCUUGGAAAGUGCCGGAAGGACAUCUGGAAGAAUAGUGAUGGAAAAACCUCUGCAUAAAGAGUUGCUCUUAAUAAAACAUUAAAAAAAAAAAGAAGUAGGGGUGCC
This 1740-nucleotide long non-coding RNA is filed under the name Felis catus (domestic cat). RNAcentral's name for it is "lncRNA (ENSFCAG00000051302.1)". Lineage: Eukaryota; Metazoa; Chordata; Mammalia; Carnivora; Felidae. The record is from RNAcentral.